CAUACCUAUUCGAAGGGAUAGGGUCGGUUCGGCCGGAUUUCACACAGGUGUUGCAUGGCUGUCGUCAGCUCGUGUCGUGAGAUGUUGGGUUAAGUCCCGCAACGAGCGUAACCCUCAUCCUUAGUUACCAUCGGGUAAUGCUGGGGACUUUAAGGAAACUGCUAGUGAUAAACUGGAGGAAGGUGGGGAUGAUGUCAAGUCAUCAUGGCCUUUAUGGAGUGGGCUACACACGUGCUACAAUGGUGGCUACAAUGGGCUGCAAAGUCGCGAGGCUAAGCUAAUCUCUUAAAAGCCAUCUCAGUUCGGAUUGUACUCUGCAACUCGAGUGCAUGAAGUUGGAAUCGCUAGUAAUCGUGGAUCAGCAUGCCACGGUGAAUACGUUCUCGGGUCUUGUACACACUGCCCGUCACGCCAUGGGAAUUGGUUUCACUCGAAGCUA
This 439-nucleotide ribosomal RNA is filed under the name Wolbachia endosymbiont of Cimex lectularius. Its description in RNAcentral is "bacterial SSU rRNA". It matches the Rfam family "Bacterial small subunit ribosomal RNA", at positions 992 to 1429 of the family's 1533-position model. The record is from RNAcentral. Lineage: Bacteria; Pseudomonadati; Pseudomonadota; Alphaproteobacteria; Rickettsiales; Anaplasmataceae.